GAUGAAGAACGCAGCGAAAUGCGAUAAGUAGUGUGAAUUGCAGAAUUCAGUGAAUCAUUGAAUCUUUGAACGCACAUUGCGCCUUCUAGUAUUCUGGGAGGCAUGCCUGUUUGAGCGUCAUUAAACCUCUCUCAAGUAUGAUUACUUGGAUGUGAAGGAAGAGUACCUUAAACUUAAGGAGUGUUCUCCUUUGAAAUUGAUUAGCAGAUGGUAAUGUUAUUAAAUCCCUGAUGUUGUAAGAAAUAACAGUGGUUUUGUAGACUAUUAUCUAGCUUUAAAUUAUAAUUUUUAUUAUGGUUGACCUCAAAUCAGGUAAGGAUACCCGCUGAACUUAAGCAUAUCAAUAAGCGGAGGA
RNAcentral lists this unclassified non-coding RNA (355 nucleotides) under soil metagenome. Its description in RNAcentral is "partial contains 5.8S ribosomal RNA, internal transcribed spacer 2, and large subunit ribosomal RNA". The stretch from base 1 to 120 matches the Rfam family "5.8S ribosomal RNA", at positions 35 to 154 of the family's 154-position model. The record is from RNAcentral.